Molecule: ribosomal RNA, 250 nt
Filed under: Chrysomya megacephala (oriental latrine fly)
Lineage: Eukaryota; Metazoa; Arthropoda; Insecta; Diptera; Calliphoridae
Description: partial 16S ribosomal RNA
Source: RNAcentral
CAUAAAAAUUUAUAAUAGAAUUUUAUUUUUUAGUCAAAAAGCUAAAAUAUAUUUAAAAGACGAGAAGACCCUAUAAAUCUUUAUAUUUAGGUUAUUAUAAUUUUAUAGAUUUUUUUUGUUAUAAUAAUUGAUAAUAUUUUAUUGGGGUGAUAUUAAAAUUUGAUAAACUUUUAAUUGUUUAAAUCAUUAAUUUAUGAAUAAUUGAUCCGUUAUUAGUGAUUAAAAAAAUAAGUUACCUUAGGGAUAACAG